GAUGAACGCUGGCGGCGUGUUUAACACAUGCAAGUCGAGCGAGAAGCUCAUGACAGAUACUUCGGUUGAUGGAUUGAGUGGAAAGCGGCGGACGGGUGAGUAACGCGUAGGCAACCUGCCCCAUGCAGAGGGAUAGCCUCGGGAAACCGGGAUUAAAACCUCAUAAUGCGGCACCGGGACAUCCCGGAGCCGCCAAAGAUUUAUCGGCAUGGGAUGGGCCUGCGUCUGAUUAGUUAGUUGGUGGGGUAACGGCCUACCAAGGCGACGAUCAGUAGCCGACCUGAGAGGGUGAUCGGCCACAUUGGAACUGAGACACGGUCCAAACUCC
RNAcentral lists this ribosomal RNA (328 nucleotides) under uncultured Clostridiaceae bacterium. Its description in RNAcentral is "bacterial SSU rRNA". It matches the Rfam family "Bacterial small subunit ribosomal RNA", at positions 28 to 339 of the family's 1533-position model. Lineage: Bacteria; Bacillati; Bacillota; Clostridia; Eubacteriales; Clostridiaceae. The record is from RNAcentral.